AAGUCGAGGGGUAACAGGAGGUGCUUGCACUUCGCUGACGACCGGCGCACGGGUGCGUAACGCGUAUACAAUCUACCUUUUGCUGAGGGAUAGCCUUUGGAAACGAAGAUUAAUACCUCAUAGUAUGUAGAAAUGGCAUCAUUUUUAUAUUAAAGGUUACGGCAAAAGAUGAGUAUGCGUUCUAUUAGUUUGUUGGUGUGGUAACGGCACACCAAGACUACGAUAGAUAGGGGCCCUGAGAGGGGGAUCCCCCACACUGGUACUGAGACACGGACCAGACUCCUACGGGAGGCAGCAGUGAGGAAUAUUGGACAAUGGAGGCAACUCUGAUCCAGCCCUGCCGCGUGCAGGAAGACUGGCCCAUGGGGUUGGUAACUGGUUUUUUUUCCGGAAGAAACC
Molecule: ribosomal RNA, 399 nt
Filed under: uncultured bacterium
Lineage: Bacteria
Description: bacterial SSU rRNA
Rfam family: Bacterial small subunit ribosomal RNA
Source: RNAcentral